RNAcentral lists this ribosomal RNA (494 nucleotides) under uncultured bacterium. Its description in RNAcentral is "partial 16S ribosomal RNA". It matches the Rfam family "Bacterial small subunit ribosomal RNA", at positions 28 to 507 of the family's 1533-position model. The record is from RNAcentral.
GACGAACGCUGGCGGCACGCUUAACACAUGCAAGUCGAACGGAAAGGCCUGCUUUCCCUUGUGGAUUGCGGGUACUCGAGUGGCGAACGGGUGAGUAACACGUGAGUGAUCUGCCCCCAACUUGGGUAUAAGCCUGGGAAACUGGGUCUAAUUCCCGAUAGGACUGCAGGGUGGUGCCUGUGGUGGAAAACGAUUUUCUAGUGGUUGGGGAUGAGCUCGCGGCCUAUCAGCUUGUUGGUGGGGUAAUGGCCUACCAAGGCGGCGACGGGUAGCCGGCCUGAGAGGGUGGACGGCCACAUUGGGACUGGGAUACGGCCCAGACUCCUACGGGAGGCAGGAGUGGGGAAUCUUGCACGGUGGGCGGAAGCCUGAUGCAGCGACGCCGGGUGGGGGAUGACGGCCUUCGGGUUGUAAACUCCUUUCGACCGCGAGGAAGCCACCUGGUUGGAGGGGUGGUGACGGUAGUGGUAGAAGAAGCACCGGCUAACUACGUG